GAUAAAGAUGACCCAAAAGAGCGGAGCUUCGUACUGACGACGAAACUCCCAGGCACUGGAUCUGUCACACAUCUGUGGGUUUUCAGUUGGACCUGUGCUAUAGUCAAGAGUGUCCUGAAAACAGAAGAAGGCUGAGUAUCACCACGAUCACCUGAAACCUGCAUGUGUGCAGGAGAACCGCGAGUAACGAUUCUCAGUUUUGAUAGUAGUGUGGUCCAGAAGUCUUGUCACGACAGAUGUUUUCUACUGAGGACAGGUUGUUGAAGAAAGUGGUAGACGGUGAGGUUUCACUGACAAACUGUCAAAAACACAUCCUCAGGUCUGAAACUGUGGGUACUUGAUAGAACGUGGGAACAGAAGUCAAGUUCAUCUGUGGACCAAAAUAGAGACUGAAGGCAUGCCCUCCUGCAGUCUACUGUAGGCUGAGGUCAGACCCAGGGUGAAGUGGGUCAUUUAAAACACAUAUGACCAUCAUUGUUUUUAUUAUGUCAAUUUUCUUUUAUUCACAUUCAUUUUAAUAUACAGCCAAAUGUUCUGAACUACUGUUUUUUUUUUUGUCCACUGUGCCUUACAGGCAUGCUAUUGGCCGGUUGCCCUUUGAGGGCGUGGCCAACCUGCUGCUGACCAAGCUGUACACCUGAGGCUCAUAUUGGGUGUUUUAGUGCGUCUCUUAAUCUGUGGCUAACGUCAGUCACGGUUUGAGGUCUUUGAUCUGAUCGUUCUUCUUGGUCAGGAUUUCCUUCAUGUUGCGAUAGGCAGCAGUCUCCUGGAACUUCUUCUCCAGCUCCUAAACAC
Molecule: long non-coding RNA, 795 nt
Organism: Cynoglossus semilaevis (tongue sole)
Lineage: Eukaryota; Metazoa; Chordata; Actinopteri; Pleuronectiformes; Cynoglossidae
Exons: 3
Source: RefSeq, a predicted model, not a curated record